RNAcentral lists this long non-coding RNA (200 nucleotides) under Hordeum vulgare. RNAcentral's name for it is "long non-coding RNA (HVUL_LNC004234)". The record is from RNAcentral. Lineage: Eukaryota; Viridiplantae; Streptophyta; Magnoliopsida; Poales; Poaceae.
GAUUUUUGAAACGUGGUGUUUAAAAUAUUCAAAUGGGCAUUUGAAUGUUAACCCCACAUAAGAGUCUUUUAGAAAAAUGUGCAAUGCACAUAUAUGGAUAGGUCUUGAUUUUAGGAACAUGUAGAAACUUGAAUCAUUAGAUGUGGUUGAUAUAUGAAUAUCCAAUGGAUAUUUGAAUCUACCAGAAAAAGAAAAUAAAA